AUUGAACGCUGGCGGCAGGCCUAACACAUGCAAGUCGAGCGGAUGAAGGGAGCUUGCUCCUGGAUUCAGCGGCGGACGGGUGAGUAAUGCCUAGGAAUCUGCCUGGUAGUGGGGGAUAACGUCCGGAAACGGGCGCUAAUACCGCAUACGUCCUGAGGGAGAAAGUGGGGGAUCUUCGGACCUCACGCUAUCAGAUGAGCCUAGGCCGGAUUAGCUAGUUGGUGGGGUAAAGGCCUACCAAGGCGACGAUCCGUAACUGGUCUGAGAGGAUGAUCAGUCACACUGGAAGUGAGACACGGACAUGACUCCUGAGGGAGGCAGCAGUGGGGAAUGUUGGACAAUGGGGGAAAGCCUGAUCCAGCCAUGCCGCGUGUGUGAAGAAGGUCUUCGGAUUGUAAAGCACUUUAAGUUGGGGGGAAGGGCAGUAAGUUAAUACCUUGCUGUUUUGACGUUACCAACAGAAUAAGCACCGGCUAACUUCGUG
This 484-nucleotide ribosomal RNA is filed under the name uncultured bacterium. RNAcentral describes it as "partial 16S ribosomal RNA". It matches the Rfam family "Bacterial small subunit ribosomal RNA", at positions 30 to 507 of the family's 1533-position model. The record is from RNAcentral.